Molecule: ribosomal RNA, 510 nt
Filed under: uncultured Actinomycetes bacterium
Lineage: Bacteria; Bacillati; Actinomycetota; Actinomycetes
Description: bacterial SSU rRNA
Rfam family: Bacterial small subunit ribosomal RNA
Source: RNAcentral
UGGGGAAUCUUGCGCAAUGGGCGAAAGCCUGACGCAGCGACGCCGCGUGAGGGAGGAAGGCCUUCGGGUUGUAAACCUCUUUCAGGAGGGACGAAGCUACUCGGGUGAAUAGCCCAGAGGGUGACGGUACCUCCAGAAGAAGCCCCGGCUAACUACGUGCCAGCAGCCGCGGUAAUACGUAGGGGGCAAGCGUUGUCCGGAUUUACUGGGCGUAAAGAGCGUGUAGGCGGCCACGCAGGUCCGUUGUGAAAACUGGAGGCUCAACUUCCAGACGUCGGCGGAAACCGUGUGGCUAGAGUCCGGAAGAGGAGAGUGGAAUUCCUGGUGUAGCGGUGAAAUGCGCAGAUAUCAGGAAGAACACCAAUGGCGAAGGCAGCUCUCUGGGACGGUACUGACGCUGAGACGCGAAAGCGUGGGGAGCGAACAGGAUUAGAUACCCUGGUAGUCCACGCCGUAAACGAUGGGUGCUAGGUGUGGGAGGUGUCGACUCCUUCCGUGCCGUAGCUAACG